RNAcentral lists this ribosomal RNA (335 nucleotides) under uncultured bacterium. Its description in RNAcentral is "bacterial SSU rRNA". It matches the Rfam family "Bacterial small subunit ribosomal RNA", at positions 8 to 334 of the family's 1533-position model. The record is from RNAcentral.
AGGGUUUGAUUCUGGCUCAGGAUGAACGCUAGCUACAGGCUUAACACAUGCAAGUCGAGGGGCAUCGGGUGAGGGCUUCUGCCAUCACGCCGGCGACCGGCGCACGGGUGAGUAACGCGUAUCCAACCUGCCCAUGGCUGGGGGAUAACCUUGCGAAAGCAAGCCUAAUACCCCAUGCUCUCCGCUGGGGGCAUCCCUUGCGGAGGAAAGGAUUUCCGGCCAUGGAUGGGGAUGCGUCCGAUUAGCUUGCCGGUGGGGUGACGGCCCACCGGGGCAUCGAUCGGUAGGGGUUCUGAGAGGAAGGUCCCCCACACUGGAACUGAGACACGGUCCAG